This 432-nucleotide ribosomal RNA is filed under the name uncultured bacterium. RNAcentral's name for it is "partial 16S ribosomal RNA". It matches the Rfam family "Bacterial small subunit ribosomal RNA", at positions 29 to 506 of the family's 1533-position model. The record is from RNAcentral.
AACGAACGCUGGCGGCAGGCCUAACACAUGCAAGUCGAGCGAGGACUUCGGUUCUAGCGGCGGACGGGUGAGUAACGCGUGGGAAUGUGCCCUUCUCUACGGAAUAGCCCUGGGAAACUGGGAGUAAUACCGUAUACGCCCUUUUGGGGAAAGAUUUAUCGGAGAAGGAUCAGCCCGCGUUGGAUUAGGUAGUUGGUGGGGUAAUGGCCUACCAAGCCGACGAUCCAUAGCUGGUUUGAGAGGAUGAUCAGCCACACUGGGACUGAGACACGGCCCAGACUCCUGCGGGAGGCAGCAGUGGGGAAUCUUAGACAAUGGGGGCAAACCUGAUCUAGCCAUGCCGCGUGAGUGAUGAAGGCCUUAGGGUUGUAAAGCUCUUUCAGCUGGGAAGAUAAUGGCGGUACCAGCAGAAGAAGCCCCGGCUAACUCCGU